GUGGGGAAUAUUGGGCAAUGGGCGAAAGCCUGACCCAGCAACGCCGCGUGAAGGAAGAAGGCCCUCGGGUUGUAAACUUCUUUUAAGAGGGACGAAAGAAAUGACGGUACCUCUUGAAUAAGCCACGGCUAACUACGUGCCAGCAGCCGCGGUAAUACGUAGGUGGCGAGCGUUAUCCGGAUUUACUGGGUGUAAAGGGCGUGUAGGCGGGAGUGCAAGUCAGAUGUGAAAAUUAUGGGCUCAACCCAUAACCUGCAUUUGAAACUGUUCUUCUUGAGUGAUGGAGAGGCAGGCGGAAUUCCGUGUGUAGCGGUGAAAUGCGUAGAUAUACGGAGGAACACCAGUGGCGAAGGCGGCCUGCUGGACAUUAACUGACGCUGAGGCGCGAAAGCGUGGGGAGCAAACAGGAUUAGAAACCCCUGUAGUCC
RNAcentral lists this ribosomal RNA (428 nucleotides) under uncultured bacterium. Its description in RNAcentral is "partial 16S ribosomal RNA". It matches the Rfam family "Bacterial small subunit ribosomal RNA", at positions 354 to 796 of the family's 1533-position model. The record is from RNAcentral.